AACGUAGGUCACAAGCGUUGUCCGGAAUUACUGGGUGUAAAGGGAGCGCAGGCGGGAAGACAAGUUGGAAGUGAAAUCCAUGGGCUCAACCCAUGAACUGCUUUCAAAACUGUUUUUCUUGAGUAGUGCAGAGGUAGGCGGAAUUCCCGGUGUAGCGGUGGAAUGCGUAGAUAUCGGGAGGAACACCAGUGGCGAAGGCGGCCUACUGGGCACCAACUGACGCUGAGGCUCGAAAGUGUGGGUAGCAAACAGGAUGAGAGACCCGGGUAGGCCGGCUGCUGACU
Molecule: ribosomal RNA, 284 nt
Filed under: Faecalibacterium prausnitzii
Lineage: Bacteria; Bacillati; Bacillota; Clostridia; Eubacteriales; Oscillospiraceae
Description: partial 16S ribosomal RNA
Rfam family: Bacterial small subunit ribosomal RNA
Source: RNAcentral